Molecule: long non-coding RNA, 679 nt
Filed under: Homo sapiens (human)
Lineage: Eukaryota; Metazoa; Chordata; Mammalia; Primates; Hominidae
Description: KCNQ1 opposite strand/antisense transcript 1
Source: RNAcentral
UCUCCAGGCAGAACGGUCGCCGCGUCGCCUCAGCACGGACCUCCAGGGAGCUCCUCAGCAAGAUCCUGCCAGGGCGCCCCUCAGCGCGAUUCUGCCGGGGUGCCUCUCAGCGUGGUCCUCCCCGGGGCUCCUCAGCACGAUUCUCCCGGUGCGCCCCUCAGCGCGGUCCUCCUCGCGCGGCACUCUCCUGGGGGCUCCUCAGCGCGGCACUCUCCCCGGGGGCUCCUCAGCGCGGCACUCUCCCGGCGGCUCCUCAGUGCGGUUCUCCCAGACUCUCCUCAGCGCGGCCCUCCCCAUCUCUCUGGGAGGGUUUGAACACGGUCAGCACGGACCUGGGCGGACGGCGCGGGACGGGUGAUCACUGGCGUUGCUGAGCACUAUUCACAACAGCAAAGAUAUGGACUCAGGAACCUAAGUGUACAUCAGUGGAUAAAUGGAAAAAGAAAAUGAGGAUCAGAUAUCAGGGAUGUCCUGCAUCAGUGAUGAGAGUGAAGCUUCACAGUUUUGAUGGCUGUUUAACGGAGAUAUGAUACUUGAAGCAGACCUCCACUGAUGGGUAUGUCGGUGGUUUGCAAUUUUUUGCUAUUUAACAAUUGCAGAAAUCAAUAUCCUGAUGAUGGAUUAUUUUGCAAAUGUGUAAGAUAUGUGUAGAAUAAAUUUCUAGAAUGAUUCAAAGGCA